UACGUAGGGUGCGAGCGUUGUCCGGAAUUAUUGGGCGUAAAGAGCGUGUAGGCGGCCAGGUAGGUCUGCUGUGAAAACUCGAGGCUCAACCUCGAGACGUCGGCGGAAACCAUCUGGCUAGAGUCCGGAAGAGGAGAGUGGAAUUCCUGGUGUAGCGGUGAAAUGCGCAGAUAUCAGGAAGAACACCCGUGGCGAAGGCGGCUCUCUGGGACGGUACUGACGCUGAGACGCGAAAGCGUGGGGAGCGAACAGG
This 253-nucleotide ribosomal RNA is filed under the name uncultured bacterium. RNAcentral describes it as "partial 16S ribosomal RNA". It matches the Rfam family "Bacterial small subunit ribosomal RNA", at positions 524 to 776 of the family's 1533-position model. The record is from RNAcentral.